GCCGGGAUGGCGGAAUUGGCAGACGCAAGGGACUUAAAAUCCUUUGAGGGUUACCUCGUGCGGGUUCGACUCCCGCUCCCGGCA
This 84-nucleotide transfer RNA is filed under the name Candidatus Bipolaricaulota bacterium. RNAcentral's name for it is "tRNA-Leu". It matches the Rfam family "tRNA". From Rfam's summary of the family: Transfer RNA (tRNA) molecules are approximately 80 nucleotides in length. Their secondary structure includes four short double-helical elements and three loops (D, anti-codon, and T loops). Further hydrogen bonds mediate the characteristic L-shaped molecular structure. tRNAs have two regions of fundamental functional importance: the anti-codon, which is responsible for specific mRNA codon recognition, and the 3' end, to which the tRNAs corresponding amino acid is attached (by aminoacyl-tRNA synthetases). tRNAs cope with the degeneracy of the genetic code in two manners: having more than one tRNA (with a specific anti-codon) for a particular amino acid; and 'wobble' base-pairing, i.e. permitting non-standard base-pairing at the 3rd anti-codon position. Lineage: Bacteria; Candidatus Bipolaricaulota. The record is from RNAcentral.